RNAcentral lists this ribosomal RNA (497 nucleotides) under uncultured bacterium. RNAcentral's name for it is "partial 16S ribosomal RNA". It matches the Rfam family "Bacterial small subunit ribosomal RNA", at positions 28 to 507 of the family's 1533-position model. The record is from RNAcentral.
GAUGAACGCUGGCGGCGUGCCUAAUACAUGCAAGUCGAGCGAACAGACGAGGAGCUUGCUCCUCUGACGUUAGCGGCGGACGGGUGAGUAACACGUGGAUAACCUACCUAUAAGACUGGGAUAACUUCGGGAAACCGGAGCUAAUACCGGAUAACAUGUUGAACCGCAUGGUUCAACAGUGAAAGACGGUCUUGCUGUCACUUAUAGAUGGAUCCGCGCCGCAUUAGCUAGUUGGUAAGGUAACGGCUUACCAAGGCAACGAUGCGUAGCCGACCUGAGAGGGUGAUCGGCCACACUGGAACUGAGACACGGUCCAGACUCCUACGGGAGGCAGCAGUAGGGAAUCUUCCGCAAUGGGCGAAAGCCUGACGGAGCAACGCCGCGUGAGUGAAGAAGGUCUUCGGAUCGUAAAACUCUGUUAUUAGGGAAGAGCAAAUGUGUAAGUAACUAUGCACGUCUUGACGGUACCUAAUCAGAAAGCCACGGCUAACUACGUG